Molecule: ribosomal RNA, 302 nt
Filed under: uncultured bacterium
Lineage: Bacteria
Description: partial 16S ribosomal RNA
Rfam family: Bacterial small subunit ribosomal RNA
Source: RNAcentral
GCAGCCGCCACGGGAAUACAGAGGGUGCGAGCGUUAAUCGGAUUUACUGGGCGUAAAGCGUGCGUAGGCGGCUUCUUAAGUCGGAUGUGAAAUCCCUGAGCUUAACUUAGGAAUUGCAUUCGAUACUGGGAAGCUAGAGUAUGGGAGAGGAUGGUAGAAUUCCAGGUGUAGCGGUGAAAUGCGUAGAGAUCUGGAGGAAUACCGAUGGCGAAGGCAGCCAUCUGGCCUAAUACUGACGCUGAGGUACGAAAGCAUGGGGAGCAAACAGGAUUAGAUACCCCCGUAGUCCCUGUCUCUUAUAC